RNAcentral lists this ribosomal RNA (116 nucleotides) under Desulfarculales bacterium. Lineage: Bacteria; Pseudomonadati; Thermodesulfobacteriota; Desulfarculia; Desulfarculales. The record is from RNAcentral.
UCCGGUGGCGAUAGCGGGGAGGUCACACCUGUUCCCAUCCCGAACACAGAAGUUAAGCUCCUCAGCGCCGAUGGUACUGCAGCCGACGGUUGUGGGAGAAUAGGACGUUGCCGGAU